AUUAAAAAAACGGGGUGAAAAGAACAAAAUUUUGUCCAUCUUUGUUCAUCAUAGCCUAAAGUUAGAGAAGAGAAAGGAGAGGAGAAAGCUCUUGAGUAUUCGGUCACUAGGAGGAGGAAAAUUGAAGUUAGUGUGUGGAUCUCGUCAGCAUAUCGUCGCAAACAUGUGUGUAACUAACACCCUCUUUCUUAGUCUGGAUCGGCAAAAGUCGAAAAGCCGAAAUGUCGAAAACUGGUAUUUUGUAGAUUUGGGAGUGUGCGAAUGCUCGUGAGGUAAAUCGAUUAAUGUUUUUGGUAAGCUGCAAAAUUUGGACUGCAAAG
Molecule: long non-coding RNA, 320 nt
Organism: Gossypium arboreum
Lineage: Eukaryota; Viridiplantae; Streptophyta; Magnoliopsida; Malvales; Malvaceae
Exons: 2
Source: RefSeq, a predicted model, not a curated record